UCUUUUGAAUGGUCAACUCUGUAUAUUAUAUAAAUAGGCCCUUUAUGGUGCAUAUGCUUAUAUUUAUUUGUAUGUGCACAGUGCAAUUUAUAUAUAUUUUCUUAACUUGGUAGACCACCGAUUUUCAGUCAUUGCCUGCUACUUAGUUAUCUCGAUUUUGCGAGCUGUGAAGAAGGUAUCGCUACACCAAAAAUUACGAAGUUCAGUAGUGAAUCUCUGACAUAUUUUAUUUAGUAAAUUAUUGAUGUUAGAUUACUAGGAUCAUUAAGGUUGAUUAAGGACGUUUUUUUUUAGGUUGUAUCUGCUGAACCUGGCGGUGUUAGCUAGUCAGCUGAGUACUGUGUAUCGGAUGCUAGUAGAAAUAAGGCGGCUGCUGCUGGAGGCGAUGACUGCUUGAGCUGGCUGGUGUUGGCGAAGGAUGGUGAUGGCGGCUGCUGCUGGUAAUGGUGGCGGCUUCAGUGUCCAGGACACAGAUGAAGAGGAUGUUAGUAUGCGUUGUCGAGAGGAACUGCCCUACAGUGACUGGCCAUAGUGCAUAGUGGAACUCCACAGAUCUUGCUGGACCGCCAGUAUCGUUGUUGUGGCCACUGUACGUAUGUUUGUUGAUAUUAUUCAUGCUUGUUCCUUGUUCAUGCUUGUUCCCAUUUUUUUUGUUCCACACUGUUCAUUUUUAUCUUAUGCCAGGUACCUUUAUUAUGA
Alosa alosa (allis shad) is the source of this 699-nucleotide long non-coding RNA. RefSeq lists it as uncharacterized. The record is from RefSeq and is a predicted model, not a curated record. The transcript is spliced from 4 exons. Lineage: Eukaryota; Metazoa; Chordata; Actinopteri; Clupeiformes; Clupeidae.